GAUCAUGGCUCAGGAUGAACGCUAGCUACAGGCUUAACACAUGCAAGUCGAGGGGCAGCAUGGUCUUAGCUUGCUAAGACUGAUGGCGACCGGCGCACGGGUGAGUAACGCGUAUCCAACCUGCCCACCACUUGGGGAUAACCUUGCGAAAGUAAGACUAAUACCCAAUGAUAUCUCUAGAAGACAUCUGAAAGAGAUUAAAGAUUCAUCGGUGAUGGAUGGGGA
This 225-nucleotide ribosomal RNA is filed under the name uncultured bacterium. RNAcentral's name for it is "partial 16S ribosomal RNA". It matches the Rfam family "Bacterial small subunit ribosomal RNA", at positions 15 to 231 of the family's 1533-position model. The record is from RNAcentral.